UAGGGAAUCUUGCGCAAUGGGCGAAAGCCUGACGCAGCAACGCCGCGUGCGGGAUGACGGCCUUCGUGGUUGUAAACCGCUUUCAGCAGGGACGAAAAUGACGGUACCUGCAGAAGAAGUCCCGGCUAACUACGUGCCAGCAGCCGCGGUAAUACGUAGGGGACAAGCGUUGUCCGGAUUCAUUGGGCGUAAAGAGCUCGUAGGCGGUCCAGUAAGUUGGGUGUGAAAGCUCCGGGCUCAACCCGGAGAG
Molecule: ribosomal RNA, 250 nt
Filed under: uncultured bacterium
Lineage: Bacteria
Description: partial 16S ribosomal RNA
Rfam family: Bacterial small subunit ribosomal RNA
Source: RNAcentral